Molecule: ribosomal RNA, 283 nt
Filed under: uncultured Bradyrhizobium sp.
Lineage: Bacteria; Pseudomonadati; Pseudomonadota; Alphaproteobacteria; Hyphomicrobiales; Nitrobacteraceae
Description: partial 16S ribosomal RNA
Rfam family: Bacterial small subunit ribosomal RNA
Source: RNAcentral
UGGGGAAUAUUGGACAAUGGGCGCAAGCCUGAUCCAGCCAUGCCGCGUGAGUGAUGAAGGCCCUAGGGUUGUAAAGCUCUUUUGUGCGGGAAGAUAAUGACGGUACCGCAAGAAUAAGCCCCGGCUAACUUCGUGCCAGCAGCCGCGGUAAUACGAAGGGGGCUAGCGUUGCUCGGAAUCACUGGGCGUAAAGGGUGCGUAGGCGGGUCUUUAAGUCAGGGGUGAAAUCCUGGAGCUCAACUCCAGAACUGCCUUUGAUACUGAAGAUCUUGAGUUCGGGAGA